GAUGAACGCUGGCGGCGUGCCUAAUACAUGCAAGUCGAGCGAACGGACGAGAAGCUUGCUUCUCUGAUGUUAGCGGCGGACGGGUGAGUAACACGUGUAUAAUCUACCUAUAAGACUGGGAUAACUUCGGGAAACCGGAGCUAAUACCGUAUAAUAUUUUGAACCGCAUGGUUCAAAAGUGAAAGACGGUCUUGCUGUCACUUAUAGAUGGAUCUGCGCUGCAUUAGCUAGUUGGUAAGGUAACGGCUUACCAAGGCAACGAUGCAUAGCCGACCUGAGAGAGUGAUCGCCCACCCUGGAGCGGAAACACGGUCAAUGCUCCUACGGGACGCAGCAGUAGGCAACCUUACGCAAUAGUCGGAAGCCUGACGCAGCAACGCCACGUGAGAGAUGACGGUCUUCCGAUCGUAAAACUCUGUUAUUAGGGAAGAACAUAUGUGUCAGUAACUGUGCACAUCUUGACGGUACCUAAUCAGAAAGCCACGGCUAACUACGUG
RNAcentral lists this ribosomal RNA (497 nucleotides) under uncultured bacterium. Its description in RNAcentral is "partial 16S ribosomal RNA". It matches the Rfam family "Bacterial small subunit ribosomal RNA", at positions 28 to 507 of the family's 1533-position model. The record is from RNAcentral.